CAGCUACCCAGCAAUGGGAUGCGAAUCUCGAAAGCCUGUCUCAGUUCGGAUUGGAGGCUGAAACCCGCCUCCAUGAAGUUGGAUUCGCUAGUAAUCGCGCAUCAGCCAUGGCGCGGUGAAUACGUUCCCGGGCCUUGUACACACCGCCCGUCAAGCCAUGGGAGCCGGGGGUGCCUGAAGUUCGUGACCGCAAGGAGCGACCUAGGGCAAAACUGGUGACUGGGGCAAAGUCGUAACAAGGUAGC
Molecule: ribosomal RNA, 245 nt
Filed under: uncultured bacterium
Lineage: Bacteria
Description: partial 16S ribosomal RNA
Rfam family: Bacterial small subunit ribosomal RNA
Source: RNAcentral